Molecule: ribosomal RNA, 305 nt
Filed under: uncultured bacterium
Lineage: Bacteria
Description: bacterial SSU rRNA
Rfam family: Bacterial small subunit ribosomal RNA
Source: RNAcentral
UCCUACGGGACGCAGCAGUGGGGGAUAUUGCACAAUGGGGGAAACCCUGAUGCAGCGACGCCGCGUGGGUGAAGAAGCGCCUCGGCGCGUAAAGCCCUGUCAGCAGGGAAGAAAAUGACGGUACCUGAAGAAGAAGCCCCGGCUAACUACGUGCCAGCAGCCGCGGUAAUACGUAGGGAGCGAGCGUUGUCCGGAAUUACUGGGUGUAAAGGGAGCGUAGGCGGGGAUGCAAGUUGGGUGUCAAAACUACCGGCUCAACUGGUAGUCGCACGCAACACGGCAGCUCUUGAGUGAAGUAGAGGCAG